AACGAACGCUGGCGGCAGGCUUAACACAUGCAAGUCGAGCGCCCCGCAAGGGGAGCGGCAGACGGGUGAGUAACGCGUGAGAAUCUACCCAUCCCUACGGAAUAGCUCCGGGAAACUGGAAUUAAUACCGUAUACGCCCUACGGGGGAAAGAUUUAUCGGGGAUGGAUGAGCCCGCGUUGGAUUAGCUAGUUGUGGGGUAAAGGCCUACCAAGGCGACGAACCAUAGCUGGUCUGGGAGGAUGAUCAGCCACAUUGGGACUGAGACACGGCCCAACCUCCUACGGGAGGCAGCAGUGGGGAAUAUUGGACAAUGGGGGCAACCCUGAUCCAGCCAUGCCGCGUGAGUGAUGAAGGCCUUAGGGUUGUAAAGCUCUUUCACCGGGGAAGAUAAUGACGGUACCCGGAGAAGAAGCCCCGGCUAACUUCGUGCCAGCCGCCGCCGUAA
RNAcentral lists this ribosomal RNA (446 nucleotides) under uncultured bacterium. RNAcentral describes it as "partial 16S ribosomal RNA". It matches the Rfam family "Bacterial small subunit ribosomal RNA", at positions 29 to 523 of the family's 1533-position model. The record is from RNAcentral.